UUUUUUAUGUUGCUUACCUGAAAUUACAAGCAUGUAAUCUUCGUUGUAACCUUUUAAUUUAUAACACGUUUAUUUGUUUGCAGAUAUUUUUGGCGAAGAACUAACAGGAAAAGGAUCAGAAAAAAGACCAAAGACCGCAUAUGUAAAUAGUUGUAUCAUACAUGUUGUAACUGUUGUGACACUUUAGGCAUCCCUUAAUGUAAUGCUCUUGUGAACGCAUAUAUGUAAAUUAAGUGUGUACCACUUAACAUAAAAUAUUGUGUACUAGAUUCCAUACUUGCAUCAUUGAAUUUUGAGUUAAAUAACGUUGGGCCCGUGCUGGCACGGGCUACACCAUCCUAGUCUUCUUUAGAAGAGAAAGAGUUUUCGACAUGUGUGUUUCAUGUCUUUUUUAUAAAGCUCGAGGGUAAUUUAGUCAUUUCACAUAAGCUCCUACAAGUUUCAUAUACGUGGCUGGGUUUGUGUACUCAAAACUAUACGUGUAAUUUUUAUAUGAUUCCACCUGUAUUUUAAGAAGAUAGCACGUUAGGUUUUCCAUUAAUUUCUUUAAGAUUACUUCUCAGAUUACGGUCUUCCAUGUCAGGUAUGUUUCACUUUCAAUCAAUUUUUCCCAUAUCUUUUUUCUCCUUUUCCUUUGUUCUUUCUUCACUCUGAGUUUUUCUCCAUCUACUAUGAAUUGUGUUGAGUUUCUAUGCACUCUAUUCCCUUAAAUUUGGUUUACCCAUUUCUUGGUGGUGGUAUGUUGGCAGAUAUGUGUCGGUUUCCUUCAAACAAGAAUUUGAUAAAGCACAAACAGUCUAUGUAUUGCUUGCUAUUUUAUUGAUUUCUCAAUUCCGUGUCCCUUAUUAGUCUUUUUGUUUCUAUUAUUUUGCACCUUUCUCCAAUUUUUUGAGUUGCGCCUCCCUAUUUCUGCAGGAUCCAUUGAUGGUGUACAUAAUGGUAUGUAUAUGUGCUGCUAAUUGCUUUUUACUAUUAUUUCAUAUAGUUGGUAUUUUUUCCACAACCAACUACGCAAUCGAUAGCGGUCUCAUUCUUUUCAUGACCCAAUUUUGAUUCCUUAGGUAAAAAUCUCUGAUGUGGAGGUGUUUGAUAAAAAAAAUUCAAUGAAUUGGAUUUUCUAUUUGAUUUCUUAUGCAUUUGUAGUCUUUUCCAUCCUUCGAAGGUAAGGGAGAAAAUAGAAAAUUGCCAGCGAAUGUUUGACACUAUUAUCUACACCUCUAUCAUGUUUUCUAUUUUCACCACAGAGCAUGAGAGUUAUAGUUACAGAGCGAGAUUUGUGGAUUUUGGUUGUAACUAUUUGUAUUUCAUGUCUUUCAUUUCUUCUUCACGAAUGAAAGAAACUAAAUUUUGACGAAUUAAUUAAAGUUGGACUAAAAUUUAAAUCCAGUGUAAAGAAUUUCAGAAAAUUCAAAUUUAUUCUUGAUUUUCUUUGUCCUCCAUGGAGAAGCUCCUUGCAGUUUAACUAUAAAUUGAGCAUGAUUUGCUGAAUUUCAUGACUUUCAGAUACAAUCACUACUUCACUAGGUGAUGAAGCAGUCUAUUGUUUGAUUAUAGAUAUCAUCUGCUGAAACUAAGAAUCUCAUUAGCCAUGUAAGUUGAUUAGAAGAUAUUCAUAAGUUAUGUGAAGAUUUAUGCUGAUGAUGUAGCUAUAUUUGUUUGUCCUGUAUCUUAUGACGGACAUUUCAAAGAGAUUUUUCCUUCAGGAGAUCUUGGACCACCCUUGAAUAAUUAAGACAGCUAAUCCGAAUGGAGCUUGCUAAAAGUGAUAUUUUCGCAUACUGCUCUCACCUCGAGUCUUUCAUCCCGUUUGCACCAGUUGAAUAACGUCCAGCAUCACAAAAUUUGACAGAAGAUUCGUAGUAGACGUGAAAUUCUUGAGAGUCUAUACCUCUUGUGCAGGCAGAUGACA
This 1909-nucleotide long non-coding RNA is filed under the name Nicotiana tabacum (common tobacco). RNAcentral's name for it is "long non-coding RNA (NTAB_LNC001281)". Lineage: Eukaryota; Viridiplantae; Streptophyta; Magnoliopsida; Solanales; Solanaceae. The record is from RNAcentral.